GUAUGGACCUUCACUCAGUUCAUUCAAAGCUUUCUCUGUGUUCCAAAUUCAGAAGUUGAAGAAGAGGUUGCUGGCCAAUCAGCAGAGCAAAUAUAUUGUAAUUACUCCAGCCCUCAAAGGACAUUUAUGAGAUAUCGCUACAGACCACAGCUGAUGCAAGACUGGAAGUAAAAGCACUUGCUGUAUGACUGAGCAUUUUUCCCUCUCCAAGCCUACAGUUUAGAGGUUGCUCAGCUACAGAGGAUGUUAUUAUGUUCAUAAGAAAAGCACAUCUGCACACUCCACUUUUUAAAUCAUCGCCUUUGUGAUUUGAUAAUUUCUGGAUGUUACUGCCAAUAACUUCUCUGCGACUGCUGUAACUACUUGAAAUAAUAAAAAAU
RNAcentral lists this long non-coding RNA (380 nucleotides) under Cyanistes caeruleus (blue tit). RNAcentral's name for it is "lncRNA (ENSCCEG00000013389.1)". Lineage: Eukaryota; Metazoa; Chordata; Aves; Passeriformes; Paridae. The record is from RNAcentral.